RNAcentral lists this long non-coding RNA (269 nucleotides) under Ananas comosus (pineapple). Its description in RNAcentral is "long non-coding RNA (ACOM_LNC029504)". The record is from RNAcentral. Lineage: Eukaryota; Viridiplantae; Streptophyta; Magnoliopsida; Poales; Bromeliaceae.
UUUUUUUUUUUUUUUUUUUUUUUUUUUUUUUUUUUUUUUUUUUUUUUUUUUUUUUUUUUUUUUUUUUUUUUUUUUUUUUUUUUUUUUUUUUUUUUUGAGAGAUAGGUAGCACGCUACCCGCUUCGUUUAUUUCAUUUAGAAAUAAACUUAGCUAGAAAUGUGAAUCAACUAGGAUUCGAACUUGGAUCUCGGGUACCAACCACCAAGCCCUUUGCCACUUGCUCUAGGGACGGUCGGUAACAUCAGUUAAUCUAAGUGAGCAAUUUGCU